AAUGAAUUGCCUGAAAAAAGGAAUACCUUGAUAGGGUAUAUCAUAUAGACAAACUAUAUUCAUUAU
Molecule: transfer RNA, 66 nt
Filed under: Clephydroneura sp.
Lineage: Eukaryota; Metazoa; Arthropoda; Insecta; Diptera; Asilidae
Description: tRNA-Ile
Source: RNAcentral